GACGAACGCUGGCGGCGUGCUUAACACAUGCCAGUCGAACGGAAAGGCCCUGCUUUUGUGGGGUGCUCGAGUGGCGAACGGGUGAGUAACACGUGAGUAACCUGCCCUUGACUUUGGGAUAACUUCAGGAAACUGGGGCUAAUACCGGAUAGGAGCUCCUGCUGCAUGGUGGGGGUUGGAAAGUUUCGGCGGUUGGGGAUGGACUCGCGGCUUAUCAGCUUGUUGGUGGGGUAGUGGCUUACCAAGGCUUUGACGGGUAGCCGGCCUGAGAGGGUGACCGGCCACAUUGGGACUGAGAUACGGCCCAGACUCCUACGGGAGGCAGCAGUGGGGAAUAUUGCACAAUGGGCGGAAGCCUGAUGCAGCAACGCCGCGUGCGGGAUGACGGCCUUCGGGUUGUAAACCGCUUUCGCCUGUGACGAAGCGUGAGUGACGGUAAUGGGUAAAGAAGCUCCGGCUAACUACGUG
RNAcentral lists this ribosomal RNA (468 nucleotides) under uncultured bacterium. RNAcentral's name for it is "partial 16S ribosomal RNA". It matches the Rfam family "Bacterial small subunit ribosomal RNA", at positions 28 to 507 of the family's 1533-position model. The record is from RNAcentral.